AUCUAAACGGGAUAGAAAUGGCAGCCUCCGAUUUAAGCACUUAUCUUUGUUGUUUUAUAGCGUGCUUGGUUUUUUCACAGGUUUCAUCGGAGCUAUAAUGGAUAGCCCGACUGACA
This 116-nucleotide small RNA is filed under the name Pedobacter terrae. Its description in RNAcentral is "Flavo-1 RNA". It matches the Rfam family "Flavo-1 RNA". Lineage: Bacteria; Pseudomonadati; Bacteroidota; Sphingobacteriia; Sphingobacteriales; Sphingobacteriaceae. The record is from RNAcentral.